Molecule: long non-coding RNA, 1841 nt
Organism: Papaver somniferum (opium poppy)
Lineage: Eukaryota; Viridiplantae; Streptophyta; Magnoliopsida; Ranunculales; Papaveraceae
Exons: 2
Source: RefSeq, a predicted model, not a curated record
AUUGUUGGUGAUACUUUUUAUCGGUUUUCAUGGCUGUGCCGAGGGGAUUAAUUCUUUUUUUUGUUCUUUCCUUUCUUUCCAUCUUGCUUCGCUUUUGUGGUUCAUAGCAAAUAGAAGGGAACUCAUUACAUGGAUAAGGAUAAUACAUUCUUCUUUAUUCUCCUAUGAUUUUCUUUGUCUUUUUCUACGGUUUCCUAUAAUUUUAAUCCUCCUAUUUUACUUUUAUUGUGGGUGUAGUUAAUCAACAAAAAAUGAGCCGUAAAGGAGGAGUACCUGAUACUGAAUUUUAACGAGAAAAUUUGGCGACACAUUCACCUAGAGCGUUGGUUUUUCUGUACUUCAAAUUUUAUUAUUAUCAUUGGGUUUAUUUCUGACUUAGAUUUUGUUUGUGCUGCAUAUGAAUUACUAAUAGCUGAGAGUUUGUCAUCUGAUUGCAGUGAAUUGCAAUAUCACACAACCCCGGUACUGCAGCAAUUUGAUUUACAAAACUCAAUAGUCCACAGAGCCAUAUUUUCGACCAAAUUAAAGUAAAUCUACGGAAGAAUAUCCCAAACUCCCAAACUUAACUGCUUAACCACUUUCCCACUUUCUUACGUCUUUUUUGUAUUUAAUACUUUCGCACAAAUGGUUUUGAUGUAAAUGCCAACACUUUUUUCUUUGGAGAACUCGAGUCUUGCGUCUUCUUUAAUUUUGGUAUACCUCUUUAUGUGAAUUGUGUGAAGUAGUUGAACGGAGACUCUGAUAUUAGUUGACGUAUCGUCAUGUGUUGCUGCAGCAAGUUACCGACUUAAUCGUGAUGUCCGUAGCAGCACAAAUUGGAGUUUUCAGAACCUUCCAUUAAUGGGUAAUCUAAGUUCUUUAUUCCGGGAAUAACAGUAACAAUGCAGCAACAACAGUUCUUAAACGCAAUUCAAGGUAAUUUUUUUAUUUCAUCGGGUAAAUUUGUUUUCUAAGUUUUUCUUUUUGUAUACAUUAAUCAGAAGGAUUCCCCCCCCCCCCCCCCCCAAUCUGGGAUAGCUCACAUGAUACUCUAUGGUGGGAAAAAAACAACCAAAAACGGUGUAAGACGAGAUUACCAUCGUAGUCGAAUAUUUAUUUUUUUGAUAGUUAAUGGGAGGUAAGAGGUUUACAAAGAAUGAAUACUGAUAAAACAAUACGUAGCAUAUUAAAGGGAUGGAAAAGGUUCACAAAGAAUGAACACAAAUUUACAAGCAGGUUUGGACCAAAGAGGAACAUAACAAAACUAUAAAAAUUGAAAUACCUAUACAAACUCUUGAAAGAAAGUUGUAUAUACAAGAAGACUGACAGGUAAAGACGAAACUCAAGGUCGUUCAAAACCAGAAUUUUCGAUCGAAGCACGAAGUGACGAGCGAUACAGUCAGUAGGAAAAUAUGCACGGUAUACAGAACGGAUAUACUUUGCUCCAAACUAAAUGGGAAGUGGCUACUUGGUUGGCCAAUUGGAGGAUUCCCCUUUUCUCAGGGUCCAUACCAUUGUGCAACUAAAGUAGGCAGAUCUUUUGGAAUAGAGAUUUUGGAUGCUCACUGCAAAGCUUGCACAUUAGUGGCACUAAUGGAGAAGCCAGGUUAUGGUAUUAUAACACAUCUGAACGAAAUGCUCAUCUUACCAUGGUUAUUGGUUGAUAUUGCCAUCGGUUCGUACUAUGACCGGUCUAGACCUAAAUAUGAUUAGUGGUUCGUCAAUACCUUAAAUACUGCCAAUAUUGACGUCAACCACUGAAUCACAUUAGUUUGUCGCACCCUUUCUUUUAUAGUGAUGUAGCACGCCAAGUGAGAUAUACGUAUUCAAUUGAAAGAUGCUAGACAUACCGAAGUUUUACA